AUUCCACAUCUACUGGUCUUUACUUUUCAAUUGAAAUUUUUUCUCUCUCUCUUUCCUCUCUCCCUCUCCUCUCUCUACCCCCACACACCACCUUUCUCCCUCUCCUCUCUACCCACACCACCAGCCCACCGCCCCACCAACCCAGACCCUCAACCCACCACCUUCCGACCACCGCCAGUCCACCGUUGGCGGCGCAGCCCAUUAUUUUCAGGUGUUUUGGGCACUCGUGUAUGACAUCAGUGUGUAUGUCGCCUUUAAUUCAGUGGUAGGUUCACGUACAAUUUCUUCUAAACCUUUCUGUCCGACUGGUCUAUGAUGCGGCAUCUCAAACAGUUCUCAUUCUACACUUUUAUCUGCUUAACAAGUACCAUUCACUUUAGAUACUCCUGUCUACUCAACAAUCAGCUAGGGGCAGUUUUACAGGAGAUCAGGGUUUUGUGGAUUUGGAAUGACGAGGAACUGACUCAAACAAGUAAAAUCAUUUUGAAUAUUUUGACAAAUAGUGGCUGCUUAUUGUCCUAGAUCAGAAGCAGUCAAAUGUGGACAGGUGGUAUUGUCUCCUUGUUGAUGUCUUUUAGUUAGUUUCCUUGAAGUCUUAUUAACUUCCUGCUUUUCAACCACAACCCUUCAUGGUUUUCUAAUUGGUGGAAGAAAGUAGAUAAUGCUGUACAAGGUUCGCACCUCGACGUAUCGAGAGAUACUGAUCUGUCUAGGGUCAUAAAAGGGGUUGCAAGUGUCAUCAAGGAUGGUCAGGGUUCCAAGUUUUCAUGCCUGUUAUAUCUGGAUGAGUGGAAGCAACUCAGGCAAACAAUUGAGGAAGUAUGUGUUACUGCUAGAGACUAUGUUGAUGUUUGGGCAGAUGCAAGCAAGAAAAUGGGGAAGAGAAGAGUAUUCUCAGAGUUUCUGAAGCUCUUGGACACCGAACAUUGACCUUUUUGAUUAAUAUGCUUUUGGAUUCUAAUUCUGCUAUAUUUAAAUGGAUAUGUAUAUUAUGUUUAAGGGUUUGAAUGUAGUUUUAAUUUGAACUACAAGUACUUUUAAUUUUAAGAUGUUUAAGUGUUUGAACAUAGUUUAUGAUGUUUAAGUGUUUGAAUGGACAAUGUUUAAGUGUUCAAGUGUUUGAACAUUGUUUA
Long non-coding RNA from Lycium barbarum (goji berry), 1133 nucleotides. RefSeq lists it as uncharacterized. NCBI's taxonomy places the organism in Eukaryota, Viridiplantae, Streptophyta, Magnoliopsida, Solanales, Solanaceae. The transcript is spliced from 4 exons. The record is from RefSeq and is a predicted model, not a curated record.